UCCUAUGAAGUCAUAAUAAUUGUAAAACACACAAAGGAGACGGGAACUUCUGGGCCCAAGUUGUAAUAGGUUGAAAGAUAGCUUAAAAAAUCCGUUAUUUUUUUCUACUAAAUCAUUUAAAAAAUCAGCUCAAUUCACAAUCAGGAAGAUGAGAAAUGUAAAAAAUAAGAUAAGAUCAAAAAUAAAAUAGGUAAUCGAUAAUUUUAAUCGAUUUGUAUGCAUAUCAAUUUUAUAUAAAAAUAUAGAAGAGGCUAAUGGAGAUAUAAAUAUAGUAAGAAUAUUAAAAACUAUUUAGUUCAAUUAAAUUAAUCUACUGUGAAUCAAGAGAUAUAAGUAAUAAAUAGAAAUCUAAAAAUCGAUUCUCAUUUACAAAAUCGUUUCACGAGUUGAUUACGACUCUAUUUUUAUCUAUGUUGACAGUGACAUGACACUGACAGCAGUCCCGGCGACCGGCGACCGGCGUAUCAGGGUUCCCAACUUAGGGGUUUUCCCCCCAGAUUUAGGGGGCAAAUAAGUGAAAUGGGAUUUUUUUAGGGGUCUGAAAUUUUUAGGGGUAUUUUCAGGGAUUUUUUGACUCUUUAAUAUUUUAAAUUGAUGAUAAUAUUUCUUUCUUGGCCUAGCGACUUAUAACGACAUAUAAUACGUUAUUCUACAACAACUCUGAGGCAAUUGAAGGCAAUUUUCAUCGAAUAAAAAAAAUUGGUAAAUUUAUUCAUUGUCAACAUGUAUGAUUUCAAAAAAUCUGUAUCUUCAGAUAAAGACGUAGUAUUUUGUCUGUAUUAAAUAUAGUCUUUUGAAACAUAUCACAGCAUAUUAUUUCUAAAUUAUUAUGAAUUUAUAUUUUUUAGGGGGACAAAUCAAUAAUUAAGGCGAUUUUAGGGGUUUUUGACACCAACUUUAGGGAUAAAUAUUUUGGAGAGUUGGUAACACUGACCGGCGUAUGCGUUUAAAAAACUUUGUUAAUACUUUAAUUGUUUACACGUUUGACUUUGGCUCCUUAGUUUGGAUUUAUUUGCCGGCUUAUCGAUUGGAAAUCGACAUCAUGGAUCUUUGUGUGAACUGUGGCAUAGAAAAGAAAAAGGAAAAAGCAACAACUAGUUGUAAUACCACAGGCAGACGAGUCUUGAAUGACGAAAUGAUUCUCUUAGUGAUUCGUCGAUGGCGUACACCGCAGCCUGUAAACAACAGUGACUAUAUUUGCUAAGCUUGCUGGAACAAACAUCAGCUAUUGAUCAACCAAGACAAUUUGGCCACCGUAAUGUUUGCCUCCGCUGUGGUCGCUCUGUUGCAUCACAAGUCACUCAUCUGCUUCCUACAGGCUCAUCUUGUGAACUGAGAAUUUAUAAUGCCAUAGAAGAAUGUAUUAUGCCUCAAACUAUAAAACAAGGAAGCCACAUCUGCCAUAAUUGUUGGGUGGCUGCAGACAGGGCUGCUGUCCAUAUAGUCUCAGGCCCAUCAACUUCUUCCCGAGUUCUAACUGAACCUCCUGCUAGCCAGCCUGGAGAAGAUAGAAACAACCAACCAGAACCUACUAUUGUAUUACCAGGAUAUAUGAGAGCUGUUCCUCUUUUUAAAGUAUUAUGUUCCUGAGAAUAAUUGUCUAUGUGAUAUUCAUUUAGUUAUUGAAGGCUGGGAUGUAAUGAUAAUUUGAAUGUUUUUCCCCAGCUAACCCACAGUGAACUAAUUCUCAUACCAUUAGGUAUCAAAUUGUUUCAAAAAUGUUGUUUGCUUUGUUAAAAAGCAGGCACGUUCAUAUUAUGGAGAGAAUGUAAGGGGUAACAAUGGUUAUUUAAUAGAAGUGUGCAGGGAGGUCAGCAGUAGCCUACUUCGAGAGCUGUCGGCUUCAAAUAGCUCAUGGCUACUUUGGGGAUGCAUACAGUCUAGACAUAUUAGUCGAAAAACUUAUUUUGUUUAUGUUUUUGUUGACAGCUCUUGCAGAGGUAGAGAAGCAAUAUUGAAUGAUUAUUUCAAUUGCAUUGUAGGCAAAAGGGCUUUAGGCUUCUGCGCACAUGUUAUGUCAAUAAUAUGGUACCUUAGUCGGGCUAGGUACCAAGAAAAUAUAGUACCCCCUGCACAAUUCUUAGAUGAUAUAUUAAUUAUAAUUGAAAAUGAAUAAAAAUCAACUAAAUAAAGUGUUUUAUUUUAUCACUCUUUACCCUUGAGCCUUACUUACCUUACCCUCAUUAUUCGGCUCACUGCUGAGCUCGAGUCUACUCUCAGAAUGAGAGGGGUUAGGCCAAUAGUCCAUCAUGCUGGCCCAAAGCGUAUUGGCAGACUUCACACACACAGAGAAUUAAGAAAACUCUCUGGAAUACAGGUUUCCUCAUGGUGUUUUUCUUUCACCGUUAAGACCUUACCCUACUUACCAUGAUCUCAUCAGUCAUUUGAAUUCUAUCUUAUCAUUCAUCCAAUUCGAAAAGUAAAUUAACAAUGGUCUAAGUUUAAUAAUAAAAUCAAACACUUGAAAAAUUAGCUAUUCAUUAUGUAGGUAAUAUCAGCUGUUAUCUUAAAUAACCUCACUUUUACUAAAUCUCGUAUAUCUCUAAUUCCAGAUUGUCAAAUUCUAUAAUAUUUUCAGUGAAAGUUUAAUAAUAUCUAAGCUAUUCAUUGACACUUAUUUCAUCCUUUUACAUUCGUGGCCCAAAUUGUAUGAAAGAGUUUCAAUCUCCAUUAAAAUAGAGACGUUUGCACUAACAUAGCACUGUGGUGUUAAAAUUCGAGAUCAAAGUAAUCGUGAUUGCGUCGAAUUCCAAUAAAUCGAUAUCUCGGUUCGUUAACUGAUAAUGUAAACCAAUUAUCAGCCAUUAUCCCCCUCGUGUUACGUAUCUUUAUUUUUGAGCUUAACGCAUUCCAUUAUGAAGAAUUUUAUUUAAUUAAUUUAGCAGGCGUCCCGCGAUUUCACUUGCGUAGUUUCCGUUCUAUACUAAAGCCAUACUCGAUGUGUACUGUUUACUUACAAACAAAUUAGAAAUGAAGGUAGAGAACGCAUGUCAUUUCAUAACUUUUAAGAUUAAGGGGUUAAAAUACAGCCUAUGACACUAACAAAUAAAGUGGCUUUCUAUUGAUAAAAGAAUUUUUAAAAUCGAUUCAGUACCUAGAUCUAGAGAUUAACUCUUUUAACGUCACAAACUUUACCUCUCUAACAGUGGAAUUCAUAGACGCUGUAGGACACCCUCAGGGGAUCAUUUACCCGCUGAGUGUCAAAUUCUCAAACAAAUAGAGACUAAAUUCGACACUCAGCAGCUGAAUGAUCCCCUGGGGGCGCCCCUACUAUGUCUAUGAAUUCCGCUGUAAGAUAUUAUUAUAGAUUUAGGUACUUACGGGUUACUCUAGAUUUCAAAGAAAAGAAUAUUAUGUCUUUUGAAAUGACUUAUUUUCUCCUCAAUCCCCUGCAAUUAAGCGAAGUGCUUGUGUAGGAUAUCAUUAGUCUAUUUGGCGGAGAUUGAACCCAGGACCCAAGUCGACCCCUAAACCGAGGAUACCGCCGAUUGACUGUCUACAGAUAGAUGUCGGUUAUGUACAUACAAAAGUAGAUAUCUUGCCGGCUUCUGCUUGGUUGAAUCUUCGGACUAAUAGAAUAACUUUAGUAGAAGUAGAGCUCUCUCUGAUAAAGUUCGUCCAAGGAAGUAUGUCUACUAUGAUUUCUGCCACUGCCACUCAAUAUAACUUAGUUCCUAACUUCCUAAUUAUGAUCAUAUUAUCGACUAUUAUUUUUACAUCGGCUAACAGAACAGGCAUAUUAAACUUUAUUAUAAGGCUAGCUUUACACUGCGGUUUCACUCGCAUUAAGUUCUAUAGACUUCCUAACUUAAUGGGCUAUCCAACAUUGAAAUAUUUUUGUUCAAUAACCAGUAGUUUCUGAGAUUAGUGCGUACUUAGCUUUAAAGUAUUAACUAUACCAUACUCUUAAUAAAAUUAGUAGUGUAAAGAUUAAGUAGAGUAUAAACUGCUGAACGAGGAUACGCUAUAAAAAACUCGAAGAACAAGGAGAUGUUAUUAGUUGCGGCUUAAAAUAGACCGGCGUUUACACAAUAGUGUAAUUGUGUGUUAUCAUCAAACGGCACAUAUGCCAAGAAUAUAAACUAAAGGUUCAUUAAUCCUAUAAUAUUGCGGGCGUAAUGAGUAUUUAGCAAUCUACACACACGCCGACAAUUGUUUAUGUUCCAACCCAGUUAAUAGAAAUAAUUGACGUUUUCUUACCUUUUUAUAUCUGAACGUUAUUUGGCAUGGCACGUCGCGACCUUAAAAUGUUAAACCUCUCAUUGUAAAUUUUCAUAAUAUUCAGUUAACAUACCUACUUAUUUUUAUAUUUUACACUGCGGCUAUUUGUGGAACAUGUCAAUUUAUAUUUGUCUAUUUAUAUUUCAACAUAGUAAUUGAAAAGACAUAUAAACGUAUAACUGGAAAAACAAUGUUUUUUAAUUUUUUUAAUUAUUGACAUGUUUACUAAAAUGGUAAAAUGUGUUGGAACAACCAACUAACUUAAACACAAGCGAAACUCUAAGUUACACUGUAAGUUGGCGUGUGUGUAGAUGCUAAUAACGAGUGUAACAGAGGCAUUGGAAACUGCGGCACGCUGUAUUGACCUCCGCAACCACGAUGUUUCUAAUAAUAUCCUUUAUCUUUGUUCCAACUUUAGCGUGAACGAGUAAAAUAUGUGUGCGCUCUCGAAUGCAGUUUUAAAUAUACUCAAAUUAUAAAAGAAAUGUUGUCAUGAGGAAGAAGAAUAUUUUAAAAUACCUAAUGGCGGACGCCCACGACCUCGUCCGUAUUCAAAAACAUUUUAAUAACUGAUUUAAU
This is a long non-coding RNA of Bicyclus anynana (squinting bush brown), 4800 nucleotides long. RefSeq lists it as uncharacterized. The record is from RefSeq and is a predicted model, not a curated record. The transcript is spliced from 3 exons. NCBI's taxonomy places the organism in Eukaryota, Metazoa, Arthropoda, Insecta, Lepidoptera, Nymphalidae.